CGCCUGUUUAUCAAAAACAUCUCUUUUUGAAAGAUAAAAAGUACCGCCUGCUCAAUGCUUUAAGUAAAUAGCCGCAGUAUUUUGACUGUGCUAAGGUAGCAUAAUCAUUAGUCUUUUAAUUGAAGGCUGGUAUGAAUGGUGAGACCAGAAAAUUUCUGUCUCUUCAAAAAAUAUUGAAUUUCAUUUCUGGGUGAAAAAGCCAAGAUGAUUUUGAAGGACGAUCAGACCCUUUGGAGCUUUACUUUGUUAUGUGUAUUAGUUAAUUUUAAAUAGUUGUACACAUAGUGUGGUUUUGUUGGGGCGACAAAGAGUUAAAAGUAACACUCUUUUUAUUAAACAAAAAUAAUUGAAUAUUUGAUCCCUUACGUAGGAUUAAAAGAUUAAGUUACCCUAGGGAUAACAGCGUAAUCUUUUUGGAGAGUUCUUAUCGAUAAAAAGGUUUGCGACCUCGAUGUUGGAUUAAGAAAUUAGCAAGGUGCAGAAGUUUUGCUGGAAAGUCUGUUCGACUUUUAUAAUCUUACAUGAUCUGAGUUCAAACCG
RNAcentral lists this ribosomal RNA (540 nucleotides) under Ceriodaphnia sp. 5 PS-2012. Its description in RNAcentral is "partial 16S ribosomal RNA". It matches the Rfam family "Bacterial large subunit ribosomal RNA", at positions 1797 to 2618 of the family's 2925-position model. The record is from RNAcentral. Lineage: Eukaryota; Metazoa; Arthropoda; Branchiopoda; Diplostraca; Daphniidae.